GACGAACGCUGGCGGCGUGCUUAACACAUGCAAGUCGAACGGAAAGGCCCUGCUUUUGUGGGGUGCUCGAGUGGCGAACGGGUGAGUAACACGUGAGUAACCUGCCCUUGACUUUGGGAUAACUUCAGGAAACUGGGGCUAAUACCGGAUAGGAGCUCCUGCUGCAUGGUGGGGGGUGGAAAGUUUCGGCGGUUGGGGAUGGACUCGCGGCUUAUCAGCUUGUUGGUGGGGUAGUGGCUUACCAAGGCUUUGACGGGUAGCCGGCCUGUGAGGGUGACCGGCCACAAUGGGACUGAGAUACGGCCCAGACUCCUACGGUAGGCAGCAGUGGGGAAUAUUGCACAAUGGGCGGAAGCCUGAUGCAGCAACGCCGCGUGCGGGAUGACGGCCUUCGGGUUGUAAACCGCUUUCGCCUGUGACGAAGCGUGAGUGACGGUAAUGGGUAAAGAAGCACCGGCUAACUACGUG
RNAcentral lists this ribosomal RNA (468 nucleotides) under uncultured bacterium. RNAcentral's name for it is "partial 16S ribosomal RNA". It matches the Rfam family "Bacterial small subunit ribosomal RNA", at positions 28 to 507 of the family's 1533-position model. The record is from RNAcentral.